AGAUUGAACGCUGGCGGCAUGCCUUACACAUGCAAGUCGAACGGUAACGCGGGGCAACCUGGCGACGAGUGGCGAACGGGUGAGUAAUGCAUCGGAACGUGCCCAGUAGUGGGGGAUAGCCCGGCGAAAGCCGGAUUAAUACCGCAUACGACCUAAGGGUGAAAGCGGGGGACCGUAAGGCCUCGCGCUAUUGGAGCGGCCGAUGUCAGAUUAGGUAGUUGGUGGGGUAAAAGCCUACCAAGCCUACGAUCUGUAGCUGGUCUGAGAGGACGACCAGCCACACUGGGACUGAGACACGGCCCAGACUCCUACGGGAGGCAGCAGUGGGGAAUUUGGACAAUGGGCGCAAGCCUGAUCCAGCCAUGCCGCGUGCGGGAAGAAGGCCUUCGGGUUGUAAACCGCUUUUGUCAGGAAAGAAAUCCUUUGGACCAAGUACCCCGUAGGGACUAGACGGUACCUGGAGAAUAAGCACCGGCUAACUACGUGCAGCAGCCGC
Molecule: ribosomal RNA, 496 nt
Filed under: uncultured soil bacterium
Lineage: Bacteria
Description: bacterial SSU rRNA
Rfam family: Bacterial small subunit ribosomal RNA
Source: RNAcentral